Molecule: ribosomal RNA, 119 nt
Filed under: Frullania chevalieri
Lineage: Eukaryota; Viridiplantae; Streptophyta; Jungermanniopsida; Porellales; Frullaniaceae
Description: partial 5.8S ribosomal RNA
Rfam family: 5.8S ribosomal RNA
About the family: 5.8S ribosomal RNA (5.8S rRNA) is a component of the large subunit of the eukaryotic ribosome. It is transcribed by RNA polymerase I as part of the 45S precursor that also contains 18S and 28S rRNA.
Source: RNAcentral
UGAAGAACGCAGCGAAAUGCGAUACCUAGUGUGAAUUGCAGAAUUCCGCGAAUCAUCGAGUUUUUGAACGCAAGUUGCGCCCGAGGCUCGYACCGAGGGCAUGUCUGUCUGAGCGUCCA